AUGGCCGCGGCGCGCCCCGGAUCCCCUGCCCCCAGACGGCUGCCCCCCUCCACGCUCCUCCUCCUGGCCGCCGUCCUCCUCGCGGCCUCGCCGCCGGCGCGCGCCCUCCGGUUCGACCUCGAGUCCGGCCACACCAAGUGCAUCUCCGACGAGAUCAAGGUCGACUCUAUGGCCGUCGGCAAGUACAGCGUGGUCGCCCCCGACCCCAGCUACCCCGACGCACAGCUCCCCGAGUCGCACCGCGUCUCCCUCAGGGUGACGUCGCCGUACGGGAACAGCAUGCACUACUCCGAGAACGUGCAGUCGGGGCACUUCGCCUUCACGGCGGUGGAGGCCGGGGACUACCUGGCCUGCUUCUGGGCGCCUGACCACAAGCCACCCGUCACCGUCACCUUCGAGUUCGACUGGAAGAGCGGCGUCACGGCCAAGGACUGGUCCAACGUCGCCAAGAAGGGCAAGGUCGAUAUGAUGGAACUAGAGCUGAAGAAGCUAGAGGAUACCAUCAAAUCUAUUCACGAGGAAAUGUUUUAUCUACGUGAAAGGGAGGAGCAAAUGCAGAACAUCAACAGGCAGACGAACUCGAGGAUGGGGUGGCUGAGUUUCCUCUCACUUGGCAUCUGCUUAUCCGUGGCAGGGCUGCAGCUGUGGCAUCUGAAGACCUUUUUCGAGAGAAAGAAGUUGCUGUAG
Molecule: ribosomal RNA, 687 nt
Filed under: Triticum aestivum (bread wheat)
Lineage: Eukaryota; Viridiplantae; Streptophyta; Magnoliopsida; Poales; Poaceae
Description: partial small subunit ribosomal RNA
Source: RNAcentral